Molecule: non-coding RNA, 30 nt
Filed under: Mus musculus (house mouse)
Lineage: Eukaryota; Metazoa; Chordata; Mammalia; Rodentia; Muridae
Source: RNAcentral
GAAAAUGAAAGUACAGACAGGUUCCCUGUG